UGGGGAAUCUUGGACAAUGGGGGCAACCCUGAUCCAGCCAUGCCGCGUGAGUGAUGAAGGCCUUAGGGUCGUAAAGCUCUUUCGCCUGUGAAGAUAAUGACGGUAGCAGGUAAAGAAACCCCGGCUAACUCCGUGCCAGCAGCCGCGGUAAUACGGAGGGGGUUAGCGUUGUUCGGAAUUACUGGGCGUAAAGCGCACGUAGGCGGACCAGAAAGUUGGGGGUGAAAUCCCGGGGGCUCAACCCCGGAACUGCCUCCAAAACUAUUGGUCUAGAGUUCGAGAGAGGUGAGUGGAAUUCCAAGUGUAGAGGUGAAAUUCGUAGAUAUUUGGAGGAACACCAGUGGCGAAGGCGGCUCACUGGCUCGAUACUGACGCUGAGGUGCGAAAGUGUGGGGAGCAAACAGGAUUAGAUACCCUGGGUAGUCCACACCGUAAAACGAUGAAUGCCAGUCGUCGGGUAGCAUGCUAUUCGGUGACACACCUAACGGAUUAAGCAUUCCGCCUGGGGAGUACGGUCGCAAGAUUAAAACUUAAAGGAAUUG
RNAcentral lists this ribosomal RNA (542 nucleotides) under uncultured bacterium. RNAcentral's name for it is "bacterial SSU rRNA". It matches the Rfam family "Bacterial small subunit ribosomal RNA", at positions 355 to 912 of the family's 1533-position model. The record is from RNAcentral.